Schistosoma mattheei is the source of this 45-nucleotide non-coding RNA. The record is from Rfam. NCBI's taxonomy places the organism in Eukaryota, Metazoa, Platyhelminthes, Trematoda, Strigeidida, Schistosomatidae.
AUCCAGCUGAUGAGUCUCAACUAGGACGAAACGUGCGUUCUGGAU